AGCUCCAAUAGCGUAUAUUAAAGUUGUUGCAGUUAAAAAGCUCGUAGUUGAACCUCGGACUUGGCUGGGGGGUCUCUCCGGAGUACUCUCUGGCCUGGUCUUUCCUUCUGGCGAGCCGCGGUGCUAUUCACUUAGUGCCGUGGGGAACCAGGACUUUUACUUUGAAAAAAUUAGAGUGUUUAAAGCAGGCUUACGCUUGAAUACAUUAGCAUGGAAUAAUAAAAUAGGACUUUGGUUUUAUUUUGUUGGUUUUCGAAACCGAAGUAAUGAUUAAUAGGGAUAGUUGGGGGCAUUCGUAUUUAGCCGUCAGAGGUGAAAUUCUUGGAUUGGCUAAAGACGAACUUCUGCGAAAGCAUUUGCCAAGGAUGUUUUCA
Molecule: ribosomal RNA, 374 nt
Filed under: uncultured eukaryote
Lineage: Eukaryota
Description: SSU rRNA
Rfam family: Eukaryotic small subunit ribosomal RNA
Source: RNAcentral